GGUGUGUCGUAAAUAGUGGAUAAUCCGUUAACUGGAGGUAGCCCUGAUGUCGAUCUUCAAGAAAAUGUACUUUUUAUGUCAGGGUUGCCAACACUGUGAAAAUUAUGAAUAUUUUUGUUUUUUCAAAAAAUUCCUACCGCGACUGUAUUUAAAAAAAAAAUACUUAGUUUGUGUAGUUUCUAAAAAGGUAUAACAAUUAGUACUUGACAAGCAAAAUUACUUUGUAUGAGCGAAAGAGCUUAUGACGGUCAGAAAGUUGAUUUUUCACGUAAUGCGUCUAUGUCCGAAUUUAGGCACCUUAACUUAUUAAUAUCAUUUAUUCAAUAAAAAAUGCUAUUGUGUAACGUAAUCUAGCUCA
Long non-coding RNA from Melitaea cinxia (Glanville fritillary), 358 nucleotides. RefSeq lists it as uncharacterized. NCBI's taxonomy places the organism in Eukaryota, Metazoa, Arthropoda, Insecta, Lepidoptera, Nymphalidae. The record is from RefSeq and is a predicted model, not a curated record. The transcript is spliced from 2 exons.